AAUCAACGCUGGCGGCGUGCCUAACACAUGCAAGUCGAACGCGAAAGCCCCGCAAGGGGUAAGUAGAGUGGCAAACGGGUGAGUAACACGUGGGUGACCUGCCUUAGAGUGGGGGAUAACGUCCCGAAAGGGACGCUAAUACCGCAUAACAUCCUGCCUUUGAAGAGGUGGAGAUCAAAGCCGGGGACCGCAAGGCCUGGCGCUCAAAGAGGGGCCCGCGCCUGAUUAGCUAGUUGGUGAGGUAAUGGCUCACCAAGGCAACGAUCAGUAUCCGGCCUGAGAGGGCGGACGGACACACUGGGACUGAGACACGGCCCAGACUCCUACGGGAGGCAGCAGUGGGAAUUGUUCGCAAUGGGCGCAAGCCUGACGACGCAACGCCGCGUGGAGGAUGAAGACCU
RNAcentral lists this ribosomal RNA (401 nucleotides) under uncultured bacterium. RNAcentral's name for it is "bacterial SSU rRNA". It matches the Rfam family "Bacterial small subunit ribosomal RNA", at positions 29 to 417 of the family's 1533-position model. The record is from RNAcentral.